AGUCAAUGAGAAAUCCCAAUUCAGUCUUUGCAGGUUAGUCUAAAAUGCAGAGAUUAACCUGAAAAACAACUGGCCAGAUAUUCACUUUUAAUUCAGGAAAUGCAGCCACGUACCUGCAGUAACUCAGGCCAGAAGCCAAGGGGCACUAGAGCAUGGUUUUCUGGCACAUAGCCAGCAUUGGCUGUGUGUUUACUUCCUCUUCCUGCUGCCCCCAAAGUCUCUGGGAUUUGCAGUCCAGAACCACAGCUGCAGGACUCAUCACAUCCUCUUCCUGCUUCCAGGUGCCUCUGGGAUUUGUAGCCCAUAGUCACAGCCAGCAGUAAGUUUUUAGCACUGCAGGGCAGGGCAGUUCUGUACUCAGGGGAAGAAAGCCUUUGGCAAAGAAGGAGUCUGAAGCACAUCUUGGCUUGGUGACCUAAUCACUGGGACAAUCCUCCUUCACUGACAGAGGAGUUGAAUAUUCUAUAAUACCUAAAGGAAGGGCUGACUCUGCUGCACGUCAAUAGGACCAUGGUCAAUGAUUUCAGCGAAAGUGAGACAAGGCCAGAAGUAGCCCACCCAAGGCAGUUGUCAGAAGCUUUUCCAAACUGUACUCCAUCUCCUACCAUUCCAAACCUUUGUAAUACUUCCUCUUUGCAAUAAGUUUUCAUUUUAAAUAACAUUUAGGGGGGCUUAAAUAGCAUGGAAAAGCCUAAUUUAUUAGCUAAACAUGAUGGCCUCUUUGUCUUUAAGAGUUUUAGAUGGCUAUCUCCCAAAGGCAACAUUCUGAAACCUGUCAACCCAGUUGCACAGCCCUGGUAGAUUUGGUAAGGUUUAUGCCUGGCCCAUUGAAUCUGAGGUAAAGGACAGUAGCUCUGAGCUUUCAGUGCUCUGGCUACCUUUUGGGUGCAAGCUAUCUUGCUAAGAAAAAGAAAAUAUUCCACGAGGUGUUAACGAUAAAUGGUUGAUUGAAGCAAUAUCUCUAUACAGGCAACCCCUGCUUACCCCUGUUUCGCUUAGCGCUAUUUCACUAUAACACUUAUUUUAAAUUGAUACAUGAUUUCACCUAGCGCUCAGCAAGUUUUGCUAUAACACUCACAAUUGCCAUCUUGGGUCAUUAAAAACACUCACGAUCACCAUCUUGGGUUGUCAAAUACUUUCGAUUUCUCUUAACGCUUGUUUCACUUCAUGCUUGAUUUUCUAGGAGCUAAUUAAGAGCACUAAGCGGGGGUUGCCUAUAAUAAAAAUAAGCUAUGUGAAAAAUGUGAAUAUAUACAAAUGUACAAUUAGAAUCUUUUGUCAUCAUGUGUUAAAAAAACUAAAAGUGUUGACCUCUUAAAAAUAGUCACUUAGGGUUAGUUUCUCUGGACUCUUUUUGUAGCAAUGCAAAAAUAUACAAAACAUUUCCACGAUUUUAAUUCAGCCUCUAAUGGAGCAUGAAGUGAAUGAAUGAGAAAACGAGUGGAAAUAUAUACAAUGAUUUUUUUUAAAACUUAACAAGCCUGUUUGUUUGUU
Alligator mississippiensis (American alligator) is the source of this 1494-nucleotide long non-coding RNA. RefSeq lists it as uncharacterized. The transcript has 3 exons. The record is from RefSeq and is a predicted model, not a curated record. Lineage: Eukaryota; Metazoa; Chordata; Crocodylia; Alligatoridae.